Oryza sativa Japonica Group (Japanese rice) is the source of this 2155-nucleotide RNA transcript. It is a transcript of the gene named cysteine-rich receptor-like protein kinase 6, with no coding region annotated. Lineage: Eukaryota; Viridiplantae; Streptophyta; Magnoliopsida; Poales; Poaceae. The record is from RefSeq and is a predicted model, not a curated record.
UCCACCGCCACCACCUCCCUUCAGCUGAUCAAUCACCUCUUCCUCCGGCGAUGCCUCGCGCCACCAUCCUCCUCCUCGUGCUCGCCCUCGUCGCGCCGCAGCUGUCAGCCGCCGACGCCGAUGCCCUCGUCGACGACGGCCACACCCCGCCGCCGUUCCACAUGUGCGGGAUCCUGCCGGGGCCGUACGCUGCCAACAGCACCUACGAAGCCAACCUGCGGUACCUCGCCGCCACGCUCCCAGCCAAGGUGAUGAACGGAUCCUCCUCCUCCUCCGUCGACGUCCUCGCCGGCGAGCGGCCGAACCUGAUCGCCGCGUCGGCCUCCUGCAACUCGUCGUCGUCGGAGUACCACGACUGCGGCGCCUGCGUCGCCGAGGCCUUCCGGUGCGCGCGGCGGCUGUGCCCGUACAGCCGGCACGCCGUGGUCCACCUCGGCGGCGGCGCGUGCAGCGUCAGGUACUACGACGUCGAGCGCACGGAGCAUGCGGAGGUGCUCAUGGUGUGGUGUCCUCCGGAGGCAUCACCAAGGAGCAUACGUCAUUCUGGUGGAACUUUAGGUUGCAUAAUUGGUAUAAAAGGAUUGCGUUUCAAGUAAGUCUCCAAGUGAUCGGAGUCGCCUGUGUUCUGUUCAUGUUCCUCCGAGAAUGGCGAGACAGAAAAAGAGGCACUGCCAAGCUGCUGCCGUAGGUGCUGCUGUAUGCCUGUAUGAUGUAUCUGUUCAGUUCAGGGUAUCAACUUCUGUUUGUAAGCCGAUUGAUCGCUGACCAGAACAAACAAAUUCAGUUUGACGCAAAAGAGAAGGGCACAUUUCGUACAAUAAUAUGUAGAUCCAGUUUUUUGUUGCUAAUAAGAAUGUACAUCAAAAGAAUUAAUAGGCGCAUUUUCCUUCUUCCAGUAACCAGUUUACCAAAUUACUGCUGAUUAUCCUCCUCAAGUGAAAAUUAAACAUACCAUGAUUCCGAUUUGCCAAUCAUAGUUGACAGGAGAUUUUUUUUCGCAAACGCACAAAAACCUUGCACGUUAAUAUAUUAGAAGAAAAACAACGUACAUCGGUAACACGCCUAAACGAUUACAGGGGUAGGCGGUACAGUAUGACCAUGUCUGCAAUCUCCGAUUCAUGGCACACCUCGAAGAUUGACCGGAGAUUUGUGAUGUUGACUAACACUCGAAGUUUGAUGAGCAGAAGAAAAUCGCGAACUUGUAAUAAAUGUUAGUCGAUAUAGCGGAAUGACGACUAACCUUCUCGAUCGAUUCAGUUAUUGAUCAUCCAAGACACACAAGAUAACGACACAUGAACACACGAUAUUUGUUAACGAGGUUCAGCCGAAACCUACAUCCCCGAGGCUCUGAUUAUGGGCGCCCAUCCCCAACCAAUAUAACUCCUAGCCGCUACGAGUCCAUGACCUCGCCGCUAUCCCCUCCUUACGUGUCUACGUUACAUUGUGGUCGCUAUAGUUAUAUUGUGGUGCCCCCCUCUCUAUUUAAGAGAGAUGUCGGGUUUCAGAGUCCGACUCUAACUUCACCCCCUACCACCUAUUACAACUCCAAGUCCAAUUAUAAUCAAAUAGGACUAGUAUAUUCGACACCUAUUAUAUCAGAACUAGUGAUUCAAGAGGAGAGAAGAGGAAGGCUGAAGUAAUGGAGGGGUACCAAGAGGUGGUAAUAGGCCUAAUAUUUUAGCAUACAAAAUGUGAGGGUUGGGCAAAAAGAAUUAGGCUGAGAUUUAAUAGAUUUUUUAUCUAAAAAUAUUUAAGGGCUGAGGUGGGUUGCAAAAGGGCCAAUGAGCACUGGCCCAUUACCACCUGAGGUACCUGGGUGAGAUGGGGACCAUGAGAUGACAUCGGUGUGAGAAGGAGACGGCGUUGCCCUACCCGAGGUCAUAUAUAUGAACCAGACUAAGUGGGCCAGCGACAGAACCUACUCUCCUUACCCUAGUUAUGUGGUCGUCCAUCGAGCUCAUCCCACUUGUUCGCCCGGACACCCGUGGCCCUGCCUCGACGUGAGGGUGAGGAGGCUUGACGGUGAGGAAGACCAAUCGCCAGGGACAGUCAGGUGGCGGCGCAACGGAGACUGAACAGUGGCAAGUCGACGAUGACCUAUGUGAUGGAUCUGAGCGAGCGUGGGAAGGAUGCAAGGGGUCUUGUCACCAAUUGG